Long non-coding RNA from Mytilus californianus (California mussel), 436 nucleotides. RefSeq lists it as uncharacterized. Lineage: Eukaryota; Metazoa; Mollusca; Bivalvia; Mytilida; Mytilidae. The transcript is spliced from 3 exons. The record is from RefSeq and is a predicted model, not a curated record.
UGCUUGAAAGCCUUGAACUGGUGGUGUAGGUCAUAAGAUUGCUUGAAAGCCUUGGACUGGUAGUGUAGGUCAUAAGAUUGCUUGAAAGCCUUGGACUGGUAGUGUAGGUCAUAAGAUUGCUUGAAAGCCUUGGACUGGUAGUGUAGGUCAUAAGAUUGCUUGAAAGCCUUGAACUGGUGGUGUAGGUCAUAAGAUUGCUUGAAAGCCUUGAACUGGUGGUGUAGGUCAUAAGAUUGCUUGAAAGCCUUGGACUGGUAGUGUAGGUCAUAAGAUUGCUUGAAAGCCUUGAACUGGUGGUGUAGGUCAUAAGAUUGCUUGAAAGCCUUGAACUGGUGGUGUAGGUCAUAAGAUUGCUUGAAAGCCUUGAACUGGUGGUGUAGGUCAUAAGAUUGCUUGAAAGCCUUGAACUGGUGGUGUAGGUCAUAAGAUUGCUUGA